GAUGAACGCUGGCGGCGUGCCUAAUACAUGCAAGUCGAGCGAACAGACGAGGAGCUUGCUCCUCUGACGUUAGCGGCGGACGGGUGAGUAACACGUGGAUAACCUACCUAUAAGACUGGGAUAACUUCGGGAAACCGGAGCUAAUACCGGAUAAUAUAUUGAACCGCAUGGUUCAAUAGUGAAAGACGGUUUUGCUGUCACUUAUAGAUGGAUCCGCGCCGCAUUAGCUAGUUGGUAAGGUAACGGCUUACCAAGGCAACGAUGCGUAGCCGACCUGAGAGGGUGAUCGGCCACCCUGGAACUGAGACACGGUCCAGACUCCUACGGGAGGCAGCAGUAGGGAAGCUUCCGCAAUGGGCGAAAGCCUGACGGAGCAACGCCGCGUGAGUGAUGAAGGUCUUCGGAUCGUAAAACUCUGUUAUUAGGGAAGAACAAAUGUGUAAGUAACUAUGCACGUCUUGACGGUACCUAAUCAGAAAGCCACGGCUAACUACGUG
RNAcentral lists this ribosomal RNA (497 nucleotides) under uncultured bacterium. RNAcentral's name for it is "partial 16S ribosomal RNA". It matches the Rfam family "Bacterial small subunit ribosomal RNA", at positions 28 to 507 of the family's 1533-position model. The record is from RNAcentral.